GGAAGUAAAAGUCGUAACAAGAUUUCCGUAGGUGAACCUGCGGAAGGAUCAUUAAUGUAACCGGACCUGUCCUUUGCCGUAAAACGCAGUGGAUCGGGAAGGGAGAUAUCAUACACCCUGUGUUUAUUUACCUUUGUUGCUUUGGCGGGCCGUCCUUUUAGGCGUCGGCCCCGGCUGAUUGCGCCCGCCAGAGGAUCCAAACUCUUUUAUCAGUGAUGUCUGAGUACUAUAUAAUAGUUAAAACUUUCAACAACGGAUCUCUUGGUUCUG
RNAcentral lists this unclassified non-coding RNA (270 nucleotides) under plant metagenome. Its description in RNAcentral is "partial contains small subunit ribosomal RNA, internal transcribed spacer 1, and 5.8S ribosomal RNA". The stretch from base 1 to 54 matches the Rfam family "Eukaryotic small subunit ribosomal RNA", at positions 1778 to 1831 of the family's 1831-position model. The record is from RNAcentral.